This 1435-nucleotide ribosomal RNA is filed under the name uncultured Bordetella sp. RNAcentral describes it as "partial 16S-23S ribosomal RNA intergenic spacer". It matches the Rfam family "Bacterial small subunit ribosomal RNA". The record is from RNAcentral. Lineage: Bacteria; Pseudomonadati; Pseudomonadota; Betaproteobacteria; Burkholderiales; Alcaligenaceae.
AAAGUCGAACGGCAGCACGGACUUCUGGUCUGGUGGCGAGUGGCGAACGGGUGUAGCACGUAUCGGAACGUGCCCAGUAGCGGGGAUAACUACGCGAAAGCGUAGCUAAUGGUCGUGCGGGCUACUGCCCUACGGGGGAAAGCAGGGGAUCGCAAGACCUUGCACUAUUGGAGCGGCCGAUAUCGGAUUAGCUAGCUGGUGGGGUAACGGCUCACCAAGGCGACGAUCCGUAGCUGGUUUGAGAGGACGACCAGCCACACUGGGACUUGAGACACGGCCCAGACUCCUACGGGGCCGGAGGCAGCAGUGGGGAAUUUUGGACAAUGGGGGAAACCCCGAUCCAGCCAUCCCGCGUGUGCGAUGAAGGCCUUCGGGUUGUAAAGCACUUUUGGCAGGAAAGAAACGUCGUGGGUUAAUACCCCGCGAACUGACGGUACCUGCAGAAUAAGCACCGGCUAACUACGUGCCACAGCAGCCGCGGUAAUACGUAGGGUGCAAGCGUUAAUCGGAAUUACUGGCGUAAGCGCAGGCGGUUCGAAAAAGAAAGAUGAAAUCCCAGAGCUUAACUUUGAACUGCAUUUUUAACUACCGGGCUAGAGUGUCAGAGGGAGGUGGAAUUCCGCGUGUAGCAGUGAAAUGCGUAGAUAUGCGGAGGAACACCGGAUGGCGAAGGCAGCCUCCUGGGAUAACACUGAUGCUCAUGCACGAAAAAGCGUGGGGAGCAAACAGGAUUAGAUACUCCUGGUAGUCCACGCCCUAAACGAUGUCAACUAGCUGUUGGGGCCUUCGGGUAGCGCAGCUAACGCGCAGGAAGUUGACCGCCUGGGGAGUACGGUCGCAAGAUUAAAACUCAAAGGAAUUGACGGGACCCGCACAAGCGGUGGAUGAAGUGGAUUAAUUCGAUGCAACGCGAAAACCUUACCUUACCCUUGACAUGUCUGGAAUGCCGAAGAGAUUUGGCAGUGCUCGCAAGAGAACCGGAACACAGGUGCUGCAUGGCUGUCGUCAGUUCGUGUCGUGAGAUGUUGGGUUAAGUCCCGCAACGAGCGCAACCUUGUCAUUAGUUGCGCAUGAAAGGGCAACACAGAUUCUGUUGGUGACAGAAACCGAGAAGGGGAUGACGUCAAGUCCUCAUGGCUCCAGGGUAGGGCUUCACACGUCAUACAUGGUCGGGACAGAGGGUCGCCAACCCGCGAGGGGAGCCAAUCCCAGAACCUGAUCGUAGUCCGGAUCGCAGUCUGCAACUCGACUGCGUGAAGUCGGAAUCGCUAGUAAUCGCGGAUCAGCAUGUCGCGGUGAAUACGUUCCCUGGGUCUUGUACACACCGCCCGUCACACCAUGGGGAGUGGUUUUACCAGAAGUAGUUAGCCUAACCGCAAGGGGGGGCGAUUACCACGGUAGGAUUCAUGACUGGGGUGAAGUCGUAACAAGGUAA